This 842-nucleotide ribosomal RNA is filed under the name Bacillus safensis. RNAcentral's name for it is "bacterial SSU rRNA". It matches the Rfam family "Bacterial small subunit ribosomal RNA", at positions 61 to 885 of the family's 1533-position model. The record is from RNAcentral. Lineage: Bacteria; Bacillati; Bacillota; Bacilli; Caryophanales; Bacillaceae.
GUCGAGCGGACAGAAGGGAGCUUGCUCCCGGAUGUUAGCGGCGGACGGGUGAGUAACACGUGGGUAACCUGCCUGUAAGACUGGGAUAACUCCGGGAAACCGGAGCUAAUACCGGAUAGUUCCUUGAACCGCAUGGUUCAAGGAUGAAAGACGGUUUCGGCUGUCACUUACAGAUGGACCCGCGGCGCAUUAGCUAGUUGGUGGGGUAAUGGCUCACCAAGGCGACGAUGCGUAGCCGACCUGAGAGGGUGAUCGGCCACACUGGGACUGAGACACGGCCCAGACUCCUACGGGAGGCAGCAGUAGGGAAUCUUCCGCAAUGGACGAAAGUCUGACGGAGCAACGCCGCGUGAGUGAUGAAGGUUUUCGGAUCGUAAAGCUCUGUUGUUAGGGAAGAACAAGUGCGAGAGUAACUGCUCGCACCUUGACGGUACCUAACCAGAAAGCCACGGCUAACUACGUGCCAGCAGCCGCGGUAAUACGUAGGUGGCAAGCGUUGUCCGGAAUUAUUGGGCGUAAAGGGCUCGCAGGCGGUUUCUUAAGUCUGAUGUGAAAGCCCCCGGCUCAACCGGGGAGGGUCAUUGGAAACUGGGAAACUUGAGUGCAGAAGAGGAGAGUGGAAUUCCACGUGUAGCGGUGAAAUGCGUAGAGAUGUGGAGGAACACCAGUGGCGAAGGCGACUCUCUGGUCUGUAACUGACGCUGAGGAGCGAAAGCGUGGGGAGCGAACAGGAUUAGAUACCCUGGUAGUCCACGCCGUAAACGAUGAGUGCUAAGUGUUAGGGGGUUUCCGCCCCUUAGUGCUGCAGCUAACGCAUUAAGCACUCCGCCUGGGGAGUACGG